RNAcentral lists this ribosomal RNA (426 nucleotides) under Acanthocyclops vernalis. Its description in RNAcentral is "partial 12S ribosomal RNA". Lineage: Eukaryota; Metazoa; Arthropoda; Copepoda; Cyclopoida; Cyclopidae. The record is from RNAcentral.
UUUUAAGUUAAGUUUUAUAAUUCUAAGGCUAAAAACAAAAUUUACAAUUUACAGUUAUAUGAGUUAAUAAAUAAUUUUGUUGCUUAAGCUAAGCAAACAACUAACAAAACCGGGGUAGAAUCCGAGUAUGCUAAUUUUUAUAGGUAUUAAAAGUAAACCUAAAUUGUGUGGCAGUUAUUUAUUCUUUUUAGAGAAUUUUGGUUUAUAAUUUGAUAACCCACAAUAUUAUUUACUGAAUUUUAGCUUAUGUGUGGUUGUCAAGAAAUAAAAGUCAUUUUAAAUCUUCCCCAAAUAACAUAUAGUUUAAUUCAGGAAAACUGAAAUGCGGUGAGAUUUUAAGUUAAAUAAAUAAAAAGUAUUUAAUAGUAGGAAAAAAAAAAUCGAAUAAGUUAUAAAUAAGGUUCAUAUUGUCCGUCACUCUCCUUA